RNAcentral lists this ribosomal RNA (956 nucleotides) under uncultured bacterium. RNAcentral's name for it is "bacterial SSU rRNA". It matches the Rfam family "Bacterial small subunit ribosomal RNA", at positions 8 to 1001 of the family's 1533-position model. The record is from RNAcentral.
AGAGUUUGAUCAUGGCUCAGAAUCAACGCUGGCGGCGCGCCUAACACAUGCAAGUCGAACGAGAAAGGGGAGCAAUCCCUGAGUACAGUGGCGUACGGGUGAGUAACACGUGGAUGAUCUACCUUCUGGUGAGGAAUAACCCUGGGAAACCGGGGCUAAUACCGCAUAAGCCCGAGAGGGGAAAGUCGCAAGACGCCGGAAGAGGAGUCCGCGGCCGAUUAGCUAGUUGGCAGGGUAAAAGCCUACCAAGGCGAAGAUCGGUAGCCGGCCUGAGAGGGCACACGGCCACACCGGCACUGAAACACGGGCCAGACUCCUACGGGAGGCAGCAGUGGGGAAUCUUGCACAAUGGGGGAAACCCUGAUGCAGCGACGCCGCGUGAGCGAUGAAGCCCUUCGGGGUGUAAAGCUCUUUCGGCAGGGAAGAUGAUGACGGUACCUGCAGAAGCAGCUGCGGCUAACUACGUGCCAGCAGCCGCGGUAAUACGUAGGCAGCAAGCGUUGUUCGGAGUUACUGGGCGUAAAGGGUGUGUAGGCGGUUGUUUAAGUUUGGUGUGAAAUCUCCCGGCUCAACUGGGAGGGUGCGCCGAAUACUGAAUGACUCGAGUGCGGGAGAGGAGAGUGGAAUUCCUGGUGUAGCGGUGAAAUGCGUAGAUAUCAGGAGGAACACCGGUGGUGUAGACGGCUCUCUGGACCGUAACUGACGCUGAGACACGAAAGCGUGGGUAGCAAACAGGAUUAGAUACCCUGGUAGUCCACGCCCUAAACGAUGCAUAUUUGGUGUGGGCAGUUCAGUCUGUCCGUGCCGGAGCUAACGCGUUAAAUAUGCCGCCUGGGGAGUACAGUCGCAAGGCUGAAACUCAAAGGAAUUGACGGGGCCCGCACAAGCGGUGGAGCAUGUGUCCAUUCGACGCAACGCGAGACCUUACCUGGGCUUCGAACGGCUGUCAACGAGUU